UAUCUGGAUUGGGACAGUAAAUUGACCAAGAUUUUGACAGAAUUUGGACAGAGUUUCUUCAUGAAAAAUGGGCAUUUUGUCCUAGGUUUCAUCUCCAAUUGGCCUUACACUAAUUGGAGCAAUACAACUCUAGUUAUAUCUCAAACAAUACACUGGACUCAAAGGUCCGAAUUUCCUGCAUAAAAAUCAACACUCCCAAAUUCAAUUCUUCCAACACCACAAACUUCAUUUGACAUACAUGACACUUCUAAUGGUCAUUAAAUCAUCUCAACAUCAUCAAUUUCAAGUCACACAACAAUUUCCCCAAAGUUAGGUCAAAAUCCCUAACUCACAUUCCUCAAUUCAUAUAAACACGAGCCAAUCAAUUUGUUCAUCACAAUUACUUAUCAAUAUCACUAAUAAACACAACUAAUUUCAUCAAAACCAUCAAACCACAACUCUUAUCAUGGCUGCCGAAAUUUAGUAAGUUCCUAUCCCUAUGAAUUUCUUUUAAUUUCAUAUCAAUCUAACUUAUUUUAGUAAGCUUGUCAUGCUUAGAAAAGAAAUAGAAGUGAAUUAGUGCACUAACCCCUUUAAACAAUUCUUGAGCUUACUCAAUCUUUGAAAUUUUUUCACUUUUUGAUCAUUAAAAUAUUCCUCUUGAUGUAGGGAUUAAUUUUUGUGAAGGGUGUUUAGGGUUUUAGGUAGAGAAAGCUUAGGAAAAUUGAGCUUAAAAAAAAAAAAGAAAAUGGAGAAGGUUUCUUGGCUAUGGUGGACAGCAAUAUGGAGAAGAAAUGAAGAAGAUAACUUUUUAUUAAUUAACUCAAUUUGUCUUCUUUUUAACUUUUUCUUAUCUCUUCUUAAUUGGUUGUUGAAUUCCUAUUGGUUAGAGAAUUUUAUGAUGUUAUUAAUUUCAUUUAAU
This 901-nucleotide unclassified non-coding RNA is filed under the name Hevea brasiliensis (rubber tree). The record is from RNAcentral. Lineage: Eukaryota; Viridiplantae; Streptophyta; Magnoliopsida; Malpighiales; Euphorbiaceae.